This 844-nucleotide ribosomal RNA is filed under the name uncultured Gammaproteobacteria bacterium. RNAcentral describes it as "bacterial SSU rRNA". It matches the Rfam family "Bacterial small subunit ribosomal RNA", at positions 67 to 918 of the family's 1533-position model. Lineage: Bacteria; Pseudomonadati; Pseudomonadota; Gammaproteobacteria. The record is from RNAcentral.
CGGAUGAGAGGAGCUUGCUCCUCGAUUCAGCGGCGGACGGGUGAGUAAUGCCUAGGAAUCUGCCUAGUAGUGGGGGACAACGUUUCGAAAGGAACGCUAAUACCGCAUACGUCCUACGGGAGAAAGUGGGGGAUCUUCGGACCUCACGCUAUUAGAUGAGCCUAGGUCGGAUUAGCUAGUUGGUAGGGUAAAGGCCUACCAAGGCGACGAUCCGUAACUGGUCUGAGAGGAUGAUCAGUCACACUGGAACUGAGACACGGUCCAGACUCCUACGGGAGGCAGCAGUGGGGAAUAUUGGACAAUGGGCGAAAGCCUGAUCCAGCCAUGCCGCGUGUGUGAAGAAGGCCCUCGGGUCGUAAAGCACUUUAAGUUGGGAGGAAGGGCUUCAGCGAAACCUGUGAGUUUUGACGUUCCGACGAAUAAGCACCGGCUACUUCGUGCCAGCAGCCGCGGUAUACGAAGGGUGCAGCGUUAUCGGAAUUACUGGGCGUAAAGCGCGCGUAGGUGGCUUGAAAGUUGGAUGUGAAUCCCCGGGCUCAACCUGGGAACUGCGUCCAGACUGUCUGGCUGAGUGCGGUAGAGGGUAGUGGAAUUUCCGUGUAGCGGUGAAAUGCGUAGAUCUUGGAAGGAACACCAGUGGCGAAGGCGACUACCUGGACUGACACUGACACUGAGGUGCGAAAGCGUGGGGAGCAUACAGGAUUAGAUACUCUGGUAGUCCACGCCGUAGACGAUGUCAACUAGCCCAUUGGUAUCCUUGAGAUCUUAGUGGCGCAGCUAACGCAUUAAGUUGACCGCCUGGGGAGUACGGCCGCAAGGUUAAAACUCUAAUGAAUUGACCGGG